GAUUGAACGCUGGCGGCAUGCUUUCCACAUGCAAGUCGAACGGUAACAGGCCUUCGGGUGCUGACGAGUGGCGAACGGGUGAGUAAUGCAUCGGAACGUACCCAGAGGUGGGGGAUAACGCAGCGAAAGCUGUGCUAAUACCGCAUGUGAUCUGAGGAUGAAAGCGGGGGACCGAGCAGCAAUGUUUGGCCUCGCGCCUUUGGAGCGGCCGAUGUCGGAUUAGCUAGUUGGUGGGGUAAAGGCCUACCAAGGCGACGAUCCGUAGCUGGUCUGAGAGGACGACCAGCCACACUGGGACUGAGACACGGCCCAGACUCCUACGGGAGGCAGCAGUGGGGAAUUUUGGACAAUGGGCGCAAGCCUGAUCCAGCAAUGCCGCGUGCGGGAAGAAGGCCUUCGGGUUGUAAACCGCUUUUGGCAGGAACGAAACGGUGUCCGCUAAUACCGGGCGCUAAUGACGGUACCUGCAGAAUAAGCACCGGCUAACUACGUG
This 493-nucleotide ribosomal RNA is filed under the name uncultured bacterium. RNAcentral describes it as "partial 16S ribosomal RNA". It matches the Rfam family "Bacterial small subunit ribosomal RNA", at positions 27 to 507 of the family's 1533-position model. The record is from RNAcentral.